CUCCGCCGAGCCGACUCCCGCGCUUGCUGACUCCCGCCGGGCUCGGCGGUAGCGCUGGGUCUCCGGAGCUCGCUCGGCCUUUUGUGGCCGAGAUGCAGCCUGCCGAGCUGUCUCACGUGCCUCCAGUUUCUCCGCAGUUCUUUCAACUGAGAUACCAAGUGAGAAGUCACAUGAUCAAAGAGAUCAGAGCCAUGGUGUCAUGGAAAGGAGUAUACUUUGUACUUGCACUAUUCUUGGGAAGUUUUUUUGGAAGUAUAUUCAUGCUUGGUCCUUUUCUACCUUUGAUGUUUAUCUCGCCGGCCUGGUAUCGCUGGAUCACUGAUCGUGUAGUGGCCACUUGGCUCACGCUCCCAGUGGCCCUCCUGGAGAUGGUGUUUGGUGCCAAGGUGGUUGUCACUGGUGAUGGAUUUGUUCCUGGAGAAAGGAGUGUCAUUAUUAUGAACCAUCGCACACGAAUGGACUGGAUGUUCCUGUGGAGCUGCCUGCUGCGAUACAGCUACCUUAGACUUGAAAAAAUCUGUCUCAAAUCCAGUCUCAAAAGCAUUCCAGGCUUUGGCUGGGCGAUGCAGGUUGCUGCCUUUGUUUUCAUUCGAAGAAAGUGGGAAAAUGACAAGAGUCACUUUGAAAAAAUGCUGGAUUAUUUCUGUGACAUUAAGGAACCACUACAACUCCUCAUCUUUCCGGAAGGAACUGAUCUUACAGAUAUUCUCAAAUCAUACUUUAUUGCAAUGUCAGUUGGUCAUCAUUUCACUCUGGAGUACUUCAAGGUUAAAGCUAAGUGCAUCAAGCCAAUACCAAAGCCCGCAGUAAUGAAUUUGCUGAAAAGAACGGACUUCAAAAAUACGAGUACGUCCUGCAUCCACGAACUACUGGAUUCACUUUUGUUGUUGAGCGUCUAAGGGAAGGGGAAAAAAAUGUUUGGUCAAAUACCAUUGUGCAGUGCUUGAACAGCUUGGUAAGAGGACACCAUGAUGACUUCUCCAACCCUAUGUACCACCAAAAUAAUUCUUCCUCCAGUGUGUCCAGCAGGAUGGAUCCCACCCCAGGAUGGAUCCCACCAUAACUCAGGUAGGUAUCAUCAUCUCUAUCUGGACCUCACCGCUUCAGAUCCACAUGCCAGAACGUCAUGCUCCAUCCAUCUGAACUCCUGUGUUAUACAUGAUAUGGUACAUCCCUGGAUUAAUGGAGCCUUCACCUAAUCAGAACAUUUCUUUUCAAAAAAGAGAAACAAUCAGUUCCUGACCUAAAUAUUCCUACUGCUAUCUUUCUGCCGCUGUGUACACUUCGGCCUCAGGCCUUUCUAAAGGCUCUCCUGUUCAGUCAAAAGUAAAAGGGAGUUUUGGAAAUACUGACCACUUUUUAAAUCUUAUUUGCUCUCCUCUCGACUUACUGCGGGGCUAGAGAAAGAAAUAACUCUUCCAUGCCUCACUGUUCCCAACAGAGCAACAGAAUCAUUUUAUCCGUAAAGUGCCUUGAAAGGCAUGAAUAUUUGUCUAAAAGCCUAAUGACAAUUAGUUUUUGUUAAUGCUAUUUUAGAAGUACAUUAUUAUACAGAAAUAUCCAAAGGCUCUUGCACAAUAUCUCACACAAAAUUGCCACCUCAGUAACAGCAGUCUUUUAAUCAGAGAAAUUAUUGUGGUUUUUUAUUGUGUAACUCAUGAAUCCCUCUAAUGUAGGCCAGUGGGAAUAUGUGCAAUUCACUGCUGUCCCAGCAGCAUGGAGGGCAGAUCCUAGGGGCACAGCAGUGUGAAUAUCAUGUGGUUUCCUGAAUCCUUCAGCAGCUUUGCAAACACCUUCUGGCUGUUUCCUUCCACAAUAUGGCACUUCUAGCAAAGCUGUUUGCUCAGCUAUUGCCUCCUGGACAUGACUGUCUCAACAGCAGGACACUGUCCCAGCCUCGGGGAGGAGGUGAGUAAAAAGAUCUCAAAGUGAAAUUGCACUAUGGUAAAAAAUACAGAAAAUAUUUUUACAAAUAUGGUUUAAUGGAAACAGGAUUCUUCUAUACCAUGCUCUGAACUUUGCUUUUAAAAACAGUCCAUUGUCUGUGAAGAAGUACCUGCAAUGUUUUGCCUUCAGGUGUCAGUGGCAGAGAUGAGUGAUUGCAGAUAUCUGCCUUCCUAGAACUUGUUCAUAUUAAAUAGGAGGGCUGGAUCCAUUGCCUGCUGAAAGAGCUGAGCCAAAAAGGCCUUUUCUCAUAUUUGUUAGCAUGAAGUUGUCAGAUAAGUUGUCCCUUAAUGUCUGGAGGGAAACAGCGUUUACACAUCCACCAAAAAGUUAGCUCUGCUGGCACCAGGAGCAGAAACAAGGCUUUCAGGAAAAACCCAUGAAUGGGGUAACCCAGGGUGUUAUGUGCAAGUAUGCUGAGAUCUCUUAGCUCUCUCCUGCCUGUCUGGUGUGAAGUACAACACAGACCUUCCCAAGUACCCAUUGUUUGGUUUGAGGGCAGUGAGACACAGAAACCUCCCCAGAGCAUCUCUGCAGCCAGCAGGUCGAGCUCAGGCACACGGGGCGCUUUAGCAUGGGCGCUUGCUGGAGGGGUCAGUGCUUGCACCAAGAAGCCUUCAGAGGUGGCACAGAAAGUGCUGCUUUUGUACACAGGCCCAAACACAGCCUACUUGUGCAAUACCUCAUACUUCUUGGGUACUCUUUCUUUAUCCCAGCCAUGACAUGGAGUGACCAACUGCCCCAGCAAAAUUCAAAGGAGAGUUUCUUACUGCCUGUUUUUGGGAAGGCAAAAAUUAUGUCACAAAAUCACAGAAUCACAGAAUGGUGGGGGUUGAAAGGGACCUCUGGAGAUCAUCUAGUCCAACACCCUGCUAGACCAGAAUCCCCUAGAGCAGAUUAUACAGGAAUGAGUCCGGGAGGCUUUUAAAGAUCUCCAGGGAUGGAGACUCCACAGCCUCCCUGGGCAGCUUGUUCCAGUGCUCUGUUACCCUCAGAGUAAAUAAAUAUUUUCUCAUAUUCAGGUUAAAGCUCUGGUGUACCAGUUUGUGACCAUUACCCCUUGUUCUGUCACUGGACGCCACUGAGAAGAGCCUGGCCCCAUCCUCCUGACACCCACCCUUUAGAUAUUUAUAAGCAUUAAUAAGAUUCCCCCCUCAGCCUCCUUUUCUCUAAGCUAAACAGACCUAGCUCUCGUACCUUUCUUCAUAGGGCAGAUGCUCCAGUCCCUUAAUCAUCUUUGUGGCCCUAUAGUUCUUUGCCCUGCUUGAACUGCAGAUUCCUGAGCUGCACACAGCACUCCAGCACCUCGGCCACAAGUGGUGACCCCGACCUGAUAGGUAUCGGUGACUCCGGACCUGAGAGCAGUUGGUGGCAGUGCCCAGCUAAGCAAAAAAAAAGGGCAGAUCAAGAGUCUAGUCUGGACAGAGAAGAAAUACACACCUUGGGAGCCAAAGGUGAGCAGCUGGGAACAUAAAUAUGGGGGCGAAGAUGUCGGCAGAAGAGAAGUCUAUAUUAACCAUAUUGCUAACAAUACUGGAAAAGAGGGGCAUAAAAUAGGGUGAGAGUGCGCUACGUACUUUGCUUGUGUGGUACAAGAAGAAUGGUGUGCAGGCUGAUUUAUAGACACAUGGGAGGAGGCGUGGUGUGCACUUUGGGAUGCAUCUUAAAACAUCUUAAGGCAGAUUGGGAAGCUGCAGCCACUGCAGCUGCAGCGCUGGCGGCGCCAGCCCCCAUGUAAAUGAAUUCUAAACCAGCUCCCAAGGCCCCUUCAUGGAUGGACGUGCCAUUUCCACCCCCUCCACCUCCUGAAGUGUGCUUGUUACCCUGUUACCCCCUGAGACAGACGAUGAGUUUAAUGAAGCAGCAGUAAGGGAACCUGUGAGUUUGUGUUUAAUAGAUCUAUCGGCCCCCCGGAGAGAAUGGGGGAGUGAAGUGUUUGCCCUCUGCCCCUCUUCUUCAGAAUUCGCUAAUUAUACAGCCUGUGGUUUCUGUCCCUGGGGGGAAUGACGGAGUGAAGUGUCAGCCCGCUGCCCACCCCCUGCAGAACUCGUUAACUGUACAGCCUGUGAUUCCAGCACCCAGAGGGAAUGACGGACUGACGUGUUUGCCCUCUGCUCUCCCUCUUCAGAACUGACUGACUAUACAGCUGGUUUCUGUAGCAAUUCAAGGUGCUGACCCAGGCAAAUUUGGGAACAAAUUGUAUGAGCAAGCUAAAGAGGCAGAAGUGGAACUGGCCGGUGAUAUUUUGGCUUCCUGUGUUAUUUGUGGUAAUGAGAAAGAACCGAAAGAGUGGGAUCCGUUUCACUGGAGUAUUAUACGUGAUUUGAGAACUUCGGUUAUGCAACAUGGAUUUACCUCCCAGUAUGUUCUAUCAUUGUUAUGAGUGAUUACGAGUCCUAAUGACCUAACUCCCUUUGAUUGUUGUAAUGUAGCACAGAUUUGCCUCACACCAGAACCUGAAAUAGCACUUAAAAAGGUGGAAAUUGCCAUUUAGAAAAGAAGGCAUAGGGAGUCGUUACUGUUAUUCCUCUUAGCUUGUAUGUCUUGUUGUCUCAUGAUCACCCGGUUGGGCUUAAUGCUUGAUGGUAUGAAGAAUGGGCAGAUCCAUUACACUUUUUGGAGUGGUUUUUUUGCCGUUUCAGAAGAAGAAAACUGUGACCUCUCAGACUGAACUGAUUGCACAGGUAAUUUGUAAGGCCAGGUGACGCUGUGUCCAAUGAUCUGGACGAGACCCUGCAAUUCUCACUUUGCCUCUCACUUUUGAACAUCUGGAGUGGUGUUUAGCUAAUAGUGCUGUGUUGCAGAUGGCCAUGUUAAAUUUUCCUGGUCGGGUUUUGUUGCACCACCCUGCACAUAACUUUCUCCAGAUUGCACCUAGAGCUGAUGUUAGCAGAACCUUUCUUAUAUUCCCCAAAGCCCCUCAAAGGGCACACCGUAUUUACAGACAGAGGAGGAAAAACAGGGAAAGCAGUUGUUACUUGGAAAGAGGAUGGCCACCAAAAUGGAUCUCCACAACUAGUGGAGUGGCAUGCUGUUAUCAUGGCAUUUGAAGCUUAGCCACAUGAAAAUCUCAAUGUGGUGUCAGAUUCUCAGUAUGUGUGCAAUACUGUCCAACGGCUUGACCGGGCUGUCUUAAAGGAGGUAAAUAACAAAGCAUUGUUUCAUGUUUUAAAGGCUUUAUAGUAUGCUUUACAGUGCAGAACCGCAACCUUUUAUAUCUUGCAUGUUCGCAGCCCACUAACAUACAGGAUUCAUUGUGGAAGGAAAUGCCCAAGCAGAUAUGUUAACUGCCCCAGUGUGGGCAGCUCCUGUACCAGAUACUGUGAAGCAAGCCAUACAAUUGCACAGCUUUUUUUUUCACCAAGGUGCUCUCCCCCUUCAACAUCAGUUUAAUAUUUCUUCCACAGCGGCACAAGAUAUUGUGGCCACCUGUUCAGACUAUCAGCAACAUAUUACACUCUCAACCGAAGGUGUUAAUCCCCGUGGCUUAAAAGCGUUGCAAAUCUGGCAAUCAGACAUGACCCAAUUUGGUCACUUAAAGUAUGUACAUGUUUCUGUAGAUAACUUUUCUAAAGCUUGUUUGGCUUCUGCCCAUACUGGAGAAAGAGCCAGGGAUGUUGUAGCACAUUGGUGUGGUGCUUUUGCUGCCCUAGGCACCCCGGCCACCAUAAAAACAGACAAUGGCCCCGGCUAUACUGCUAGCCGGACUCAACAGGUUUUGCAAUUAUGGGAUGUUCAGCAUAUUACGGGCAUUCCUCAUUGUCCCACAGGUCAAGCUAUUGUUGAGUGUGCACAUUGGUCAGUCAAGGUGUUGCUUGAAAAACAAAAAAGGGGGAAUGAUGGGUGAAACUCCACAAGCGCGAGUGUGGAAAGUGGUAUAUACCAUGAAUACCAUUAACUGCGCUCCUUCUAGCACAGUACCUAUUCUUAUAACUCAUUUUUCUUCUUUGCAUUCUGACAGGGAUGUAGUGCGAUCGCGUGCCCCUGUUUGGGUUUGUAACCUUCAGACUCGAGUUUGGGAAGGUCCCUUGGACUUUGUCACCUGGGGGAGAGGUUAUGCUUGUGUUUCCACAGAUACUACGAUUUGUUGGGUACCUGCUCGGUGUGUAUGCCCUGUCCUGGAAGCUAACCUUUGGGACGACAGAAUUAAUGGCACCUCGCCUGAUGCCAUGGAACAGUAAAGAUAUAUGGGUAUCAUUGUUACAUGCCAUGAAUCAAACUAAAUUUUGUACUUCAAUAGCCCAGAUUGAGUAUCCUUUUCAUCAGCAGGAAAACGAUUUUAAUUAUACCCAUCACUAUAGGAAAAAAGAGAAUUGUAACAGAUAGUGUUGAAUUGCAUUAACACAGUAGAUUUGUGGAAUGCUAGGGAGCGCUUUGCUGUUAGUUUAUAUUUGCUUCAGGUUGUGGCCGCAAACGCAAAUGCAAACGCAAAAGCUAACCCUAACGCAAAUGCUUUGAUAAAAUUGAAUAAGUUAUCGUGCUUUGUGGUAAAAGGAGCUAAUGAGAUUUCUGAAUUAUUGAGUGUCUUAGUAACUUUUAUAGAUGGUAUUUGCCGUGUUGCUUUGUAGAAUUGCGAGGCUAUUGAUUUCAUAUUGUUAGCUUGUGGACGCAGAUGUGAAUCUUUGACAGAAUGCAGAUUUGAAAAAGAAAGCCAAUCCACAAAGACACCAGGAACUGAGUGACACCACCAGAAGGAUCACAGAAGAUAACGGAUUUUUUGAACUCAAUAAAUGGUUAAAAGGUUGAAAUAUAUCAGGAUGGGUUAAAAGCUUGUUGCAAACAGGAUUGUCAAGAUUAUGUGUAAUCACUGUCAUUUUGUUGGUAGGGCCGUGUUUGCCGUCUACUCUGCAAAGAGCCCUGCAGAGGAUGGUAAACACAACCCUUGUUGUUGAAAAGCAAAAAAGGGGGAAUUGUGGACAAUCAGCUGUGGGCCCCAGGAGGCCUUGAUCUCGACAAACUACAGCUGUACUCUUGACAGUUAGAGACAAACAUUUGUGGGAAAAGAAGGUAUGCGAGAUACGGAUGGGUGUUGAUGUUCUUGUAAGAAAAUGUCACAAACUUGUAACCUGUCACAAAAUAGCAAACAACGUGUGACCAGAAGCUGUUAACAAAUGGGAAGGAAGCAUAAAGCGCAUGGACGGGAGAAAAGGUAUGAGAAUGCUAUGUAACCUAAAAUAAAUUGCUGAUACUUGUGACCAUCAUGGUGUGUCAGUCGCGUCUCGGCUGCAUUAACCCUAGCCCCUAGACUUUUAGCCCUAGUGCCUAGACCUUUAACCUUUGCUUUUUAACUCUAGACGCUAGAGCACUAACUGUAGAACCUUAACCCUAGAUACUUAAAACUUGUCUCUUAACCUUAGUGCCUUGCCCAUUGCCCUCAAACUCUAGACAAUUCACCCUAGAUCUUUAAGGCUGGACCCUUAACCCUUGCAGCUUAACCCUAGACCCUCGUAUAUUGUCACUUAACCCUAGACCUUUAACCCUUAAACCUAGACCCAUUUCCCUUCGUCCUUACUGUUAGAGCCUAGCAGUCUGCCCUAGACCCUUAGUCCCUGACCCUUAACUCUAGACCUAAUCUCUUGCCUCUUAACCCUAGAUCUUUAACCCUAGGUCCUUAACCCCUGACCCUUAACCUUUGUCUGUUAACCUUAGACCCUUAACUCUUGCUCCUUAAUCCUAGUCUCUAGACCUUUAAGACCUAAUUAAACCCUUGGGGCUUAAUGUUAGACCCUAGACGUUUACCCUUGGAUCCUUAACCUUAGACCCUCAACCUUAGUCCCUAGACCUUUAACUCUUAAACCUAUACCCUUAUUGCUAGGCACUAAACAGCAGUCUCUUAAUACUAGAUGCUUAACCCUAGACUCUAGACCCUUAACCCUUGCCCUGUAACCCUAGACUCUUGCCCCCUAACCCUAGACACUUCACCCUAGAUCUUUAACUCUGGAUCCUUAAGCCUUACACCUUAACCCUAGAACCUUAUCUCUUCUUAUUAACCUAUUAGCAUCUAUUGACUAGGGUAAAACAGAAGGGUUAAAUGGCAAGGUUUAAGAGUGAUGCUCUUGGAUGCUUAUACCUAGAUGCUUAUCUCUAAACUGUUAACCCUAGACCUUUAACACGUGAUGCUUAAGCCCUGAACCUUAAGCCUAGAUCCUAGAAAAUUAACCCUUGCCCCUUUAUCCUAGACACUAGAUCCUUAGACUUUUAACUCUUAAACCUAGAUGUUUAACGAUCUAGGCACUGAAGCUCAGACCGUUAACUCCAGACCUUAACACUAGAGACUUAGCUCUUGUACAGGAAAAAAACCAACUCCUCUGGUUAAGGCAACAAAACCAAGCAUGCGCACAAAUGUCAGAUGAUUCCCAAAACUUGCCACAGAUCUUACAGUACAGAUCGAGGGACACUGAUAACAAUUAUAUACAGAGGAAACCUUAAACCAAUGACAUUCCCUACCGACUCGGCACACCACUCUCGCUUCAUGCUCCAGUGUAUGUCUGCUUUUUAUUAAGUCUUUCAUGCUUCUCGACUCGUCUGCAGUUUGAGACUCUCUUCAACACAACCUGCCAAAAAUCUAAGGGAUAAACAAUAAUUUAAAACAACUCAAAAAAAACCAAACCCCACAAACGUUUAUCCAAAUCCUAGGCUCAGGCAGAGUCACUUUACCGGUUCCAAAUAACCUCAGGCGAGGGAGAGAAAAAUCCCUGUAGUUUUGUCCGGCAAGGGAGCAAGCGGUUCCUUGCCAGUCAACUUACCAACAUUCCAAAGGAACUUAUUAUAAGCAUUCAUUAUAUGUAUUACCCAA
Apus apus (common swift) is the source of this 8740-nucleotide RNA transcript. It is a transcript of the gene named lysocardiolipin acyltransferase 1, with no coding region annotated. NCBI's taxonomy places the organism in Eukaryota, Metazoa, Chordata, Aves, Apodiformes, Apodidae. The record is from RefSeq and is a predicted model, not a curated record. The transcript has 10 exons.